Long non-coding RNA from Triticum dicoccoides, 580 nucleotides. RefSeq lists it as uncharacterized. NCBI's taxonomy places the organism in Eukaryota, Viridiplantae, Streptophyta, Magnoliopsida, Poales, Poaceae. The record is from RefSeq and is a predicted model, not a curated record. The transcript is spliced from 5 exons.
CUCAAGAUAUGUGACUUCCAAGGGAACUGCAAACUCAAGAUAUGUGGUCUUGGACUAGCAAGAUUUGCAUCCAGUGACACCCCUACAACAGUUUUCUGGAUGGACCAUGUCGCCACCUGAUGGUAUAGAGCUCAUGAACUCUGUAAUGUUCUAUCAUUACCAAGUGUUGUUAACAAUUUCAGGAGGCUAACUUAGAGGAAGAUAGAGGAAGGAGCAGGGCAGUUGAGGGGAAGUACAUUUCUCACUGGAGAUUACUAGACAUAUAGGAAGAAUUAUGAAACUAAAAUGGGAUGUUACUGUUGGCAUUUGAUGACAAAGUGAGGCCAAUAUAGAAAAAAACUAAGCUUUUGGGGACUAACCACGGAAUAUUAGUACUAUAUGCUGAUAUUGACAAGCCGCACUAUCUUCUCCAGUGGCAUGGGCAACGUGUAUUAUGUCGAAAUGUGUGGGAUUAUUGAUUUUAUGUCUUUAUUUUUACUAAUAUAUAUUUAUACAAGGACGACAAUCAACAAAAUGUGUAUUUCUCAUUCAACCAGUGUCCUCGCAUGUAAAGACAAGUAAUGCUUCGAGCACAUGAGAA